This 485-nucleotide ribosomal RNA is filed under the name uncultured bacterium. RNAcentral's name for it is "partial 16S ribosomal RNA". It matches the Rfam family "Bacterial small subunit ribosomal RNA", at positions 30 to 506 of the family's 1533-position model. The record is from RNAcentral.
AUUGAACGCUGGCGGCAUGCCUUACACAUGCAAGUCGAACGGCAGCACGGGUGCUUGCACCUGGUGGCGAGUGGCGAACGGGUGAGUAAUACAUCGGAACAUGUCCUGUAGUGGGGGAUAGCCCGGCGAAAGCCGGAUUAAUACCGCAUACGAUCUACGGAUGAAAGCGGGGGCCCUUCGGGCCUCGCGCUAUCGGGUUGGCCGAUGGCUGAUUAGCUAGUUGGUGGGGUAAAGGCCUACCAAGGCGACGAUCAGUAGCUGGUCUGAGAGGACGACCAGCCACACUGGGACUGAGACACGGCCCAGACGCCUACGGGAGGCAGCAGUGGGGAAUUUUGGACAAUGGGCGAAAGCCUGAUCCAGCAAUGCCGCGUGUGUGAAGAAGGCCUUCGGGUUGUAAAGCACUUUUGUCCGGAAAGAAAUCCUUGGCCCUAAUACGGUCGGGGGAUGACGGUACCGGAAGAAUAAGCACCGGCUAACUACGU